UGGUGUUAUGUAUCUAGUCACCGUUGGAAUGGGUAACCACAAAUCAGGCAACCGACCAAUGUUUAGGGCCAAACCAUAUAUUUUGAAAAGUCAAACGCACAACAACAGCAGUAUAAACCCACCCUAUCCCAGAAGAGAAAGGAGAUAGAUAGAUCCCGAAUACACAAGGGGUAUACGUUACAAUAUCAGAGGCAGCGAUUGAGGCUCUAAAAGUAUUAAGAGCCAGGAGGAUGCACGCACAUCCAUAUUGUGGCACCACCCCGUCUUGUCAUUGAGUACACCAAGGAUAAUUUUCCAUGGUUAUGAAAGUACUGUUAACACUAAAGACCCUUCGCUGAUGUUGAAGCUAAUUGGGUAAAGGUAACGGACACAGAAAGCCCAGCUGAGAGGGAUGUUCCACAGCUCCCCUGGCCAUUAUGCUGCUAAGGUAUUUACUUCAGUUAUCCCAGCUAACCUCAUCAGAGAGAUGCAGGGGAAGAAACCGGGCUGUCUAAUGUCUAAAAUGCUGGACAGAGGACUGCACAGCACUUCCAUGAAAGUUUCAUCAGCAAUUUUCAUGGACAAAACGGAUGUUCCUAUUCCAGGUACUGUACUCUGCAUGCCUCUCACUGCCUAGAUAAGUAAAUAAAAGAAUGGAGGCAACUUCUGCCUCUGCCAAAGUACAGGACACUGAUCUAGUACAAACGACACAAUGAGACUCCCAUACUCAUUUUUAAUGUAUUCUAGAACAUCAAUAAAAUAAUCCAUCACAAAUCAAUGCCUUUGUCUCACUAAAGUUGUGGGUGAGAUGGGUGCCAUUUUGAAAUGGUAGAAGACAGCGGUGAGGGGCAAUGUGCUGGGAAGCACAGCUCGUUCACUUUUUGCUGGAUCAGAUCCUGCUUCCAUCCACUCCUCUCCCCCAUGGCUCCAGCAUGGAACCAUACUGCCCCACAGCUCUGUUCCACCACAGCUGACCCCUGCUGUGCCUGAACCCAUAACCUUGACCUAUGGCCUCAUUCCCCCACAUGUGCUACCAGCUCUGCCUGUCCCAGUUCCACUAGUUGUAGCAUAAGCAUGAAUGUAUGGGUGCGUCUGCAGCAGGGGUGCAACAUCUGUGUGACUGUACAUGGUCUCCUGAUGUACAUUGUUAGGCUUUUUGUGUGUAGAUGUUCUAUUUUUAAUUAAGCUUUUCCAGAACAAUUAUUAUUCCAACAUAAGCUUGCAAUGCAGACGUACCCUUAUCAAGUCUGUUUAACUCCAGAAAAUUAGCCCUGGUGUGCCUCAAUGAUCUUAUAGCCGAACUGCAUUUUUUCACUCUGGCUACCCAAUUGAUUCUCAGUGGCAAACCAUUCACAUUGCAGCCAAUUCUAUCCUGUCAUCAACUUUCUCAAAAUUUCAUAGUUCUAACCCUAGAUUCCCCUCAACCCACAACUUUCAAUAGAUUUUAUCCUUAUCUCAGCUGUGUGAAUCUGGAGCUUGGAAAAGUACCCUCUCCCCCGCCAUGUUCUGUACUAUAGCUUGAUCUGUUUUAAAAUAAUUGUCAGACCUCAUUUAAAAUGUCAGGAUAGGCUGAAAAGCAUUUUUAUAUCAUAGUAUGAAUCAGUCCUAUACAUCUCAAGUUAGGAAAGUGAGAGGUCUCUCAGUCCAUGAAGUCUUUGUUAGCAUUGAGUGUAGCUCUUUUCCUAAGAAAACAUUUUUUAAUGGGCAUUCAUUGACCAUUGUCACAUUGGUUUGUCAACGGGCUUUGUGAACGAUUUACCUUUUCAAUUCAAGUAUCAUAUUUGGGAUGUGAUCAGUUGAGCACUGAGUACAAAUUGCAUUAAGCCUGUUCUCCUCCACCAAUUGCCACCCAGUCUGUCUCUUUAGAAUCCAAGGCUCCUGCUCUGCACCCAAGGGAUCUGACUGGAGACUGACCACAGAAGAUAAAACUAAUCCAGAUUAUUUAAAAGACCUCGACUAGCAAAGGAAUUGGCUGUCACAAACGAUGAGCCUGGCAGAUAGCACGGUGACAUAUUUUGAGGAAAAGAUUGCCCGGGUUUUGGCCUACCUAAGGAGUAACACAUACCCUGAAGGGAUGAAUAAAGCUGGGAGACAAAACCUGCGUCAAUUAGCUGCCAAAUUUUCUUUGGAAGGUUGAGUUGUCCAGGUUGCCAGAAAGUGUGCAAGGAGUCGGACCUGGAUCCUACAUUGAACAAUAUUAAGCUGAAUCUGGAAAUUUGCAAAUUAAUGAAAGUAGAAUGUAGUUUCACCAGCCCAUACCAACCGCAAACCAAUGGACUUGCCGAAAACACAAACAAAUCCCUGAAAAGGUAAUUUCUCAAGUUGAUAAUUCAUAACAUUGCUAACAAAUAAAAGACAUCUUGAAUUAAUCUACAAGAAGUGGUCUAUGCCCCUCACUAACUCAUGGUAACAUCAAAGUUUUUUCUUACUUUUUAUGGUGCUGCUGUAAUAAAACUUGUUUUUUUAAUUUUUUAGAUGUUAGUUCAUUGAAAAUCCACUUCUGUUAUUUCUAGAGCAAGUAACUGUACCAAUGUACUUGGAUUUCCUCUUUACACCUUUCAGAUUGCAUAAUAUGGUUUUCAGUGAACACACUUUAGCACUCCCCAAACCAACUCUAAUUAAUUUUUACAGAGCAUUAUGGAAGUUGGUAAAUGAUACUCAGAAUAACUGGAAUGAGUUUCUUCCUGAAAUUACAUAUUCAAUGAGAGCCAAACCAAAUAUGGCAACCAAGAUGUUUUCUCUGUUCAUAUUUUGAGAUUGUACAUACUCAAUAUGUCAUGACACAAGAUUGCAAUAUAGCUGAGUACCACUGAGCUGUUGGUGGGUGUACGGGAUCUUUAAUAACAGGACUGUAUUAAAAUUAAAAUGAAACUAAGAUCUCAUUUUUCAAAAUGGGAGCAGAGCAGCAGGGAAUCUAAAAUUACACAGUGAAGACUAAUUCUAUCAUCAAUCAACUUGCAGUCAGCACUGGGAUAUUAAGAGAAAUGACACUAUGAUUUGGUCAUUGGUGUUCGUGACAAAUGAGAAUUGAAAAAAUCUGAGUGAUAUGUUUACCAAAAUAAUUAUAAGGUUGUUUAAAUUUUCAAAUUGAAAAUAACAUCUGGAUGGAUGCAUGUUCACUUACCGAUAGCACUAAUGGAAACCCGUGAGUUGGUAAUAAUCAACCCAAUUGGUAAUGAAAUCCGUUAUGAGACACACCUCCUGAGGAACUGGAGGUGAUUUUUUUUUUUUAAACACUAACUUUGAUUGUUGACAUCUAUAGUGUUACUGUGCAGGUAUUUUUAGUAACAAGUCCGAAUGAGGAAUAGUAUGCUAUAAAAUGGAGAAUGAGGGUAUGUGUACACUGCUAUUGUGGGGCACCAGAAAAUCCAGGAAUAGCUAUCUUGCAUCUUCCAGAAAUCCCGUUAUUUUGGGGUCGCUAUUAUGACCUUUAUGUAAUCCUAACGCUACGAGGACUAAUAGACAUUUCUGAUUAUUGAUUUAUCUAGCAACUUGUAGUUGUGUAGACAAUGCAAAAUGAUGAGAGAAGCUAUUUCAGAAUAGAAUUUUAAAUAAGACACACAAUUUUCAUUGCUCAAAUUGAAUAUCUAAUUGCAAGUUAAGGUGCAGUGUAGACAUAACCCAAGAGUUGGUUUUGACUACUUUCCUGUUUCUGGAUCCCAGAAAGAUCAGAAAUAGCAACACUGUGCUGUAAAGGAUAACGCUAUUUCCUGAAUUAGCAAGUGCACUCUUCAGGCUACCCUUAAGCAAGGGUUAAGGGAUGUGCUGGAAUAUUGCCUUAUUUUGAAAUGUAACCUGUAUAUAGAGCAACACAUUUAAAAAUAAGCUCUUUCAAAUUAGACUCUGACUAAGGUACUGCACAUCCCUCAAAUUGCAGAUCUUUCCUCUUCCAACAAAGUGAAAAGACAACAACAAUGGGAAAUUGGCAAAUCAAAAUAUUAGAACACAACAGACAAACAGAUGUGUUCAAUUAUGGGCCACUAAUCCUGAAGGUAUUAAGUGUAAAAUUUCAACUUUCUUUAUGAAGUUCGUAAUAAUCCUAAGUUACUUUUUUAGAAUUGGAAGUAUAAUUAGUUCUAAUUGGAAGUAUAAUUAGUUUGCAGAAACAUAUUUGUAGUGGGAAGACAUCAGCAGUGUGCAGACAACACAAAAAGUGUUAUUUGCAAUAAGAAGAAAAAUUGCAAUUUUGUUAAUGAAAGAGUCAGGUAAGAGUAACUUUCUCUCACUCUUUGUGGUCCUUGAGAAUAUUGUAGUUGCAUUGGUUCACAGAAAAUAAUUCUGCAUUAAUUAUGUCUGGAAGUACUGUUAAAAAGGUUGGAUUGAAUGGUUGCCAUAGACACGGUAGUGAAAUGUCUUUGGAUAACAUUACAGACAACAUCAUUAAAUCAAACGGGCAGAAACGUAGUCUGGGGAUGAGAAAUGAAAUGCGAGCCAUAAGCCACACAUGCCCAAAAUUAAAGUUUAAAAAAAAAAAAGUUAAAUUUUUAAAAAGAAUUGAAGCUACAUAAUCAAGCAUGAUUUCUAUUUACAGUUUACAAAGUAAUCAUAGUUUGUACACCCUUUGUUUUCAUCACAGAAAGUGUAUUGCUUGUAUUGCAAUUCUGGGAUUGUAAAGGAAAAAAAGUUCAGAUGGAAGAAUGGUAAGAAACAGAGAAUGGGAUGUGUAAUUAAGCCAUGCAAAUCCACGGAUAUCAAUUUGAAUCUGUGGGUAAUCACAUCUGCGGAUGUUAAGAUAUGUGGUUCAUUCUUGUAUUAAAAUUACUAGACUGAUAGAGCAGUAGAACAGGAAGGGAGCUCAAAAGGUCAUGAAGUCCAGUCCCCUGACCUCACAGAAUGACCAGGCACCAUUUAGAUUAGAGGGAAACUUCAGAACUUCCUUUCAUGCUUAAAUUUGACACUUUACCAAUGUGC
Pelodiscus sinensis (Chinese soft-shelled turtle) is the source of this 4890-nucleotide non-coding RNA. NCBI's taxonomy places the organism in Eukaryota, Metazoa, Chordata, Testudines, Trionychidae. The record is from RefSeq and is a predicted model, not a curated record.